UACGGAGGAUGCGAGCGUUAUCCGGAUUUAUUGGGUUUAAAGGGUGCGUAGGCGGUCCGUUAAGUCAGCGGUAAAAUUGCGGGGCUCAACCCCGUCGAGCCGUUGAAACUGGCGUUCUUGAGUGGGCGAGAAGUAUGCGGAAUGCGUGGUGUAGCGGUGAAAUGCAUAGAUAUCACGCAGAACUCCGAUUGCGAAGGCAGCAUACCGGCGCCCUACUGACGCUGAGGCACGAAAGCGUGGGUAUCGAACAGG
Molecule: ribosomal RNA, 252 nt
Filed under: uncultured bacterium
Lineage: Bacteria
Description: partial 16S ribosomal RNA
Rfam family: Bacterial small subunit ribosomal RNA
Source: RNAcentral